This 433-nucleotide ribosomal RNA is filed under the name uncultured bacterium. RNAcentral describes it as "partial 16S ribosomal RNA". It matches the Rfam family "Bacterial small subunit ribosomal RNA", at positions 29 to 507 of the family's 1533-position model. The record is from RNAcentral.
AACGAACGCUGGCGGCAUGCCUAACACAUGCAAGUCGAACGAGACCUUCGGGUCUAGUGGCGCCCGGGUGCGUAACGCGUGGGAACCUGCCCUUAGGUUCGGAAUAACUCCCCGAAAGGGGUGCUAAUACCGGAUAAUGUCUUCGGCCCAAAGAUUUAUCGCCCUUGGAUGGGCCCGCGUUGGAUUAGCUAGUUGGUAGGGUAAAAGCCUACCAAGGCGACGAUCCAUAGCUGGUCUGAGAGGAUGAUCAGCCACACUGGGACUGAGACACGGCCCAGACUCCUACGGGAAGCAGCAGUGGGGAAUAUUGGACAAGGGGCGAAAGCCUGAUCCAGCAAUGCCGCGUGAGUGAUGAAGGCCUUAGGGUUGUAAAGCUCUUUUACCCGGGAUGAUAAUGACAGUACCGGGAGAAUAAGCUCCGGCUAACUCCGUG